UAAACCUUACGCUUUUGAGGUUGAGUGCA
Molecule: non-coding RNA, 29 nt
Filed under: Homo sapiens (human)
Lineage: Eukaryota; Metazoa; Chordata; Mammalia; Primates; Hominidae
Source: RNAcentral